This 737-nucleotide long non-coding RNA is filed under the name Prunus dulcis (almond). RNAcentral describes it as "sRNA ncRNA". The record is from RNAcentral. Lineage: Eukaryota; Viridiplantae; Streptophyta; Magnoliopsida; Rosales; Rosaceae.
AAAAAUUAUUUGCUGAGAAGGAAAUAAAGAUAUAAAAUUCCUACCAAAAUAACUGGACGUUCCAACCAAUAAAAACCCUAAUGAACCUAAAAAAAGAAUAAAGGCCAAGCAGAAAUUACUUGUUUUUCGAGACCCUGCUAUAAGUUCUAUCCAUAUACGUUCUGAUCUCCGACUCAUACUAUAACUAGACCUAGUUGCAUUUUAUUGGAAUUGGGAGAAUAACAAAAAUAAAUUUUAUUUUACUUUUUUUGUUUCCGAAGUAACUCGCAUCAACCAGCACUAUUAUGAUGUGAACGUUUAGGGGUAAUUCAUCGAAUUUCUUAGAUCCAAACUAAAAUAGUAACAUCCCUUUCACAUGAUUUCCGAAUACAUAUAGAUAUAUUGACUUUACAUUUAAGAAAUUCCCCCCGAUCCCGAUCUAUUUGAAAAUAGUUAUAAUUCAUUUACCCAUAAUAUCAUGUUUAUACAUAAGAGCUUAUGCCCGAAGGAAGCCACAUGUUAUACCAUAUUCUACUAAAUAGAUAUCCGUGUUAUGAUCCAAGUAAGUCUUGAAAAAAAAAAAAAAAGAUUCGUCCUUAUUGUAUCUAAAAAAUCUUGUUUUUUUGAACAUAAAGAGAUAAAGAAGCCAUUGCAAUUGCCGGAAAUACUAAGCCCACUAAAGGCACAAAAAUUGAGGGGAAGCUGUUGAGAGUUAUCAUAGAAUGGGUACCUCGAUUUAAUAUUUGUACCUGUUAUUU